GACGAACGCUGGCGGCGUGCUUAACACAUGCAAGUCGAGCGGUAAGGCCCUUUCGGGGGUACACGAGCGGCGAACGGGUGAGUAACACGUGGGUGACCUGCCUUUAGCUCUGGGAUAAGCCUGGGAAACCGGGUCUAAUACCGGAUAUGACUCCGCGGCGCAUGUUGUGGGGUGGAAAGCCUUGUGCGGCUGGAGAUGGGCCCGCGGCCUAUCAGCUUGUUGGUGGGGUGAUGGCCUACCAAGGCGACGACGGGUAGCCGGCCUGAGAGGGCGACCGGCCACACUGGGACUGAGACACGGCCCAGACUCCUACGGGAGGCAGCAGUGGGGAAUCUUGCGCAAUGGGCGAAAGCCUGACGCAGCGACGCCGCGUGAGGGAUGACGGCCUC
This 389-nucleotide ribosomal RNA is filed under the name uncultured bacterium. Its description in RNAcentral is "bacterial SSU rRNA". It matches the Rfam family "Bacterial small subunit ribosomal RNA", at positions 28 to 418 of the family's 1533-position model. The record is from RNAcentral.